CAGUAGCCGCGGUAAUACGUAGGCGGCAAGCGUUGUCCGGAAUUAUUGGGCGUAAAGGGCUCGCAGGCGGUUUCUUAAGCCUGAUGUGAAAGCCCCCGGCUCAACCGGGGAGGGUCAUUGGAAACUGGGAAACUUGAGUGCAGAAGAGGAGAGUGGAAUUCCACGUGUAGCGGUGAAAUGCGUAGAGAUGUGGAGGAACACCAGUGGCGAAGGCGACUCUCUGGUCUGUAACUGACGCUGAGGAGCGAAAGCGUGGGGAGCGAACAGGAUUAGAUACCCGAGUAGUCCCUGUCUCUUAUAA
This 301-nucleotide ribosomal RNA is filed under the name uncultured bacterium. RNAcentral describes it as "partial 16S ribosomal RNA". It matches the Rfam family "Bacterial small subunit ribosomal RNA", at positions 509 to 809 of the family's 1533-position model. The record is from RNAcentral.